GUGAAUAGAUCUUCAGGAAGAAUCUACCUGCUGUGUCACAGUUGCCGUUGCUUGCUUAUCUGAGCAGCAGUAGCAUUGGCAGAGCUGUUAAUUUCCAGCUGGAUCUGCAUUCUUACCUUCCUCCAACUGGACAGCUUGAGCAAAGCUCUUUGAAAUUUGUUUUAUGACAUCACCAGAGAUGACUGCCGGGUUCCUUUGAUCAUUGCCAGCAACUUCUGAAGGGGCCACUCUAGAGUUCGAUAGCUGCUGCUGCUGAUGCUGCAGCUGCCAAGCCUUCCUCUCCUGCAUUGCUUUCUCCCGCUCCUCAUAGAAGUCAAAGUCAUCGAGAAUUGACGUGUCAGCGUCAUGAUUUUUGAAAAUGCUUAGCAUCUCCAAACCCUGUUCCAGUUUCACCUGAAGUUUCACCCCCCAACAGUAAUCAAUGUAAGCCCGCCCAGAGAGAGCACAUGAGCAGAGAGUUCAAAAACACUGCAUACAUCUAUUCAUCAUACAGAAGGAUCACUGCAAUUGAACAUUGAAAACUAUCUAAUAAACAUCAUUGAAAAGGUGACCAAAGAAUUGUAUCAACUAAUGUCUCACAUAAUAAUGGAAGCUUAGCUAAUUAUUGAUAGGAGGAAUUAUGUCAGCAAAAUAGUCAAAAAGGAAAGGUUGGACUGUGGAGAGCAUUAAUGUGAAAGUCCGGAUCUCUCAUGAAACCCAACUAGCAGCUUGUAGCAGUUUCAAGAAUGUUUCAUGCUCACUAGGUUCAACAAUGAUCUAAAAAUGACCACAAAAAAUUAUUAAAAAAUUGAAUGCAACAUUAUAGGAGACUAGGAGUACAGAUGUGCCACCUCUGCCAUCAGCACUGCAUUGAACCAAGCCAAGAUAUUGAAAAGUUGGCUUCUAAGCCAGUAAGGAUACUGCCUAGUCUAAACUGCAUUCAAAUUUCAUAAUGAAUUCAUCCAAUCUGGUCCAUACCCCGUGAAUGGCAAACUUGGCAACCUACAUGUGUCUGUAUGAACAAGUGCGUGCACACACAGCUUGUUGUGCAGACAUAUAUGUGAAUAGAUCAUACAAGAAAACUCCCCCCAUGUAAGUUAUGAGACAGGAGAUUUCUAAACAGAAAUAAUAACAAAUGGUUUGGUGUAACUAUAUAACAUGCAGAGUGUUGUGUCAUUCAUAUGUUACUGUGUUCUCACUAUUUGUCCUUUUCCUGGAACACCAUACAAAUGCAGGCAUGUUAAAGUGAAUGCAAAUAUUCAAAUCUAAUAUUUGAAUGUAUGGUUUCCAAUAAUACAGAGGAAAAGGGUUUUUUGUCAAAAACAUCAGAGUUCAGCCACUAACUUUAAGUAACAGAAGAAAAAUGAUGAGUUAUGUAAAUCUGGGAUCGGUUAAUUCCAAAAUGAGAGGGAGAAAGUAGCAAAAAGAUAGAUGUCUAGGCAGCACAUGGAGGAAGAUCACCACCAUGCUAAACUGAAGGAUAUUUAUCCACAUAGUCAACCAACUACAUUUGCUUCUCAUGUUUUGGAGGAUUAAAGAUAUCAUUCUUGGGAAGUAAAUCAGGAACAAAACAAAUUUCAAAAAGAAAGCCUGGAUGGGAAGAAUAACAGACCAAGAAGAAAUAUCUUACCUCCUGGGUGUCUCUGCUAUUGGUUAUUGGCUUAUUGUCAUUGUUUUCGAGGAUGAUAUGGCGACACAGAUUGUUCGGGACAUCUUUCACGAUAUGCCAUUUGACAGGGAACUGACCAGUCCAUUUGUCUUGCUGCCAAUAAUUCACACUCCUCUCAAAAUCCACAGGUCCAAUCAUCUCAGCAACCCCACAAAACUGUGCACUGGCAUUUACCUGUACUUGGUAUAACAAAACAGUAGACAUCAAUCCAACUAACAUACACAUAUAUAUAGAUGUGUGUGUGUGUGUAUAACAAUAUGAUAUAUCACAAUAUAUUUUCUAAAAAAAUCCCAAAAUUGAAAAAAUAAAAGGGACAGAAUUUUGCAGUUACCGAGAAAAACAAGAAAACUGGACUGGGAUUGUCCUUCUCUUUUGCCUCAUGAUAAGCUGAAUCUAACUUCCUGUUCCCAUUGGCAGUGCUGGCCCAAACACCAUAUUUGAUGCUCUUAUGGACAUUAUCCUCACUGUAAGAUUUUAUUAUGAAGAACUUGGCAUCCUUGUUCUCCAUAACAAAGUCUGGACUGUUAUAUAACUCACGGUUAGCUUUUGUAGUAGAAUUGUCAAUUUUACCAUCCACUGAUGAGUUCUGUUCCACUGCUGGAUUCUUUGGUCUAGUGGACCGUGGCCCUCGGUUUUGCUCACAGAGAAAGUCUGGGGUGCCAUUGCAACUACACAAUGAAGCACCACCCUUUCCUCGCUUUCUGCCAUUGUCGAUUGCACUCAAACUCCGAACAUUGAUGCCCAAUCUGGGAAGGGACCCCCCAACAUUACUGCCCUGAGGAUAAAUACCACCAUGAGGGUACAGUCUAUCAUGGGAGCUAAAUGAGGAUCCAAAACCGUAAAAGGGCUUUUGUUGCUGUGGAGCCUGAACAUUAUUAGAAAAAAAUGAAUACAUUAUAAAAGCUAAGUCAGUAAAUAUGAUGAAUUCCCAAAGGAACAGCUAAAUAAAUUGAAGUUUCAAUAUAUCAACUGAGUCUUGCAACUAAUAUAUAUAUUUAGUGAUAAACUUGGCUGAUUCUUUUCAAAAAUAAAAAGUUAGCUCGCAACCCAAUGGUUUAAAAUUCUGACAUUUUUCAUUGUAAGACAGAAUACUAAAAUAGAAUAAUAUAUAAAAUUAAGAUAUCAAAUGAUACCUAAAUUCAACAAUUUAUUGCAAAAACAAAGCAAUGCCAAUGCAGAUCUCAUCUUGAAAAGGAAAGGAAAUAAUCAUAAAAUAUGACAUCAUUUUUUCCCGCUAAUGCAACUAUAUUCCCUGCGCAACAGUUUGCUUUGACUGAACUUUCAAAAAGAUGAAAGAUAAGCUUCUUAGUUAAUGUUAUAGAUAUCUGCAGGCAAAAGUGCAACGAAACACAACUAAAUACUACCAUACAAAAAGCCAGGCUGUAUUGAAAUUAACUCUGUAUACUAGCAACUUUGCAAUCUUGAAAUCAAUUACUUGUCAUCAAAAGAAAUAGAAUGAGGUACCAAUAUCAUAGUUAUAACUUCAACCUAGUCCAUGACCAGCUGAACAAAAAUACAAUAAGUAUCUCUAAAAGAUCUUAAUGUUAACAUAGUAAUUUUUCUUUUCUUCAAAUAACUUUACUUGCUUUCUUUUUUCCUUUCCUUCUACAUGGAAAAAUACCAUUAAUUGUGUUCACAGUGCUACUCAAAUAAACUAUCCAGCUUUUUUAACAAAAUAUGAAAAACAAAAUCAUAGAUAUGACAAUAUUUAUUGGCAUCUUGCUGUAAGCAGACAAUAAUUUACCCAAACACAUGCCUUAGAACAAUAUACAAAUUAUGUAACUUUUAGAUUUUUGGGGAGGGGAACAAGGUAUGUAUCACACUGUUUCAGAUGUUUGCAGCAAGUGGUAUAACAAUGAGAAAAGAAGCAGGAAAAAAAAAAUACCAUUCCAGCUAAAGGCAUUGUGCUUUGCCCAAAUGGCCCAAGUGCACCAAUCGGCUGAGGUGAAGCUGCUGGUGACAAUGGAGUCAAUGGUCCUGUCCCAUCAGGAGAUUUCAACCAAUCUGACCAUAAGCCGCCAGAGCCAAAACCAUCAAGCCCUUGCCUCAAAUCAUAGAAACCAGGAUUACCAAAAUUUCCAGCAAAGCUACCUCUACCGAAAGAGCCGUAUGAAACAUGAUAACGAGGUCCUGGUCCAAAAAGCAUGCCACUGGAAUUUGAAGCAUCAGCAAGAAAAGCUCCUUGUUGGUCAACUGGUAUUGUUAACUCAGCUUGUGAAACUGGAGUCGGAGAAGUAAGAAAUGGCAUGCUAGGAGGAACUGGUUGCUGGUAGUAAGGGCCCGAGAAGGGGAAAUGCUGAGGAGUGUAGAGAUGGCCAUCUCCACUGGCAGGAGGCAAAGGUGUUGUAACUGGAGAAUAAGGUCCAUAAGGCAUCUGAGGACUGUACCCAUAUCCAGUAUGGUACAUGAGAGAGGGAUUCUCAUUGUAGACACCCUUCAAAACAAUAAGACACGUCUUGUAAGACCUAAAUAAGGAAAAAGAAGGCGUGGUACUAACAAAUGAAGAAUUAUACUUACGGUUGGUCCAACUUCCAAGCCCUCGACAUUUAAAAACCGAGGAUAUUCUUCGAACUCACCAGUAGCAUUCUCAUACCCUGAAGGCAUGCACAGAAUUAAUGCUAGAUGUUAGCUCAAAAUUGAAAUGAUACGCAAAAUAAUCUUCUUGGAAACAUAAACUUAACCAGUUUUUCAAGUCAUUUUGCUUUGUUUGAAAACAAAAGAACCAUGUACAAUUUUUUGUGAGUAGAAGAAAAAGAAAGAGGUAGAAUGCAACAUUGUGAUUCUGAUUACAUAUUUACAUUUCAGAAAUUCAUACAUAAUAGCAGAUUGCGAUUGUAUAUUAUAUUAUACUCCAUCAUAUUCAUUAUAGGAGUGAAAAUAAGUAAAAUAGUAUAUGUCAUGCCAUGAUUCAAGAAUAUUCAAGGACAGUAUAUCUAUUUUAAAUAAUAUUUCAAACAUUGUAAUCCCCUUAUGACAUUGACACAUCCACUUCAUACUCAUAUAUCGAGACAUGUACAAAUAUUAGAUUUGAGACAAAUAAAUCUCAACACAAAAAUAUAACUUCAUGAGGAUACCAAUAAAGGUUCAAUAACGAAAACUAACCACCAGAGAAGAAUGCUUGUGCCUGAGGAGCAUAGAUAUUGGUUGGAUAAGCAGCACUACGGUCUCCACCUGCAUCCAAAGAACCCAGCUGGCCUGGGGCAUCUUUUGGUAGAUUCAUAGUGUUUGAGUCAUGUGAAACAUUAGGUGAUACAGACGUCUCAUCUUUAGCAGAAAGUGGCUGGCAGUAAAAAAUAGUCAGCAUCAGCUUGGAAUUUAUUAACAUCAAAAUCAAAGAUACGUUGAUAGAGUAAUUACCUGUUCAUUUGAAUCCUCAGCACAAAGUGUUUUCUGCUCAGCAUCUACUUUUGAUAAUUCCACAGGCUCCAUU
RNAcentral lists this long non-coding RNA (5078 nucleotides) under Elaeis guineensis (African oil palm). RNAcentral's name for it is "long non-coding RNA (EGUI_LNC005461)". Lineage: Eukaryota; Viridiplantae; Streptophyta; Magnoliopsida; Arecales; Arecaceae. The record is from RNAcentral.